GACGAACGCUGGCGGCGUGCCUAAUACAUGCAAGUCGAACGGAGAGAUACGAGGGUUUGCCCUUGUAAAUAUUAGUGGCAAACGGGGGAGUAACGCGUAAACAACCUGCUCAACGGAGGGGGACAACAGACAGAAACGACUGCUAAUACCCAAUAUACUCCAGUUUCGCAUGAAACCGACAGAAAAGGUUGCCUCUCGAAGAAGCUACGGCCCCACGAGGGAUUAGCGUUUGGUUAGUUAGUUGGCGAGGCAACGGCCUGCCAAGUCGAAGAUCAAUAGCCGGACUGGGAGGGUGAACGGCCACACUGGGACUGAGACCCGGUCCAAACUCCUACGGGAGGCAGCAGUGGGGAAUCUUCCGCAAUGGACGGAAGGCUGACCGAGCAACGCCGCGUGAGUGAAGAAGGCCUUCCGGUUGUAAAACUCCGUUAUUCGGGAAGAACGAUACGUUUGUAAAAAAUGGCCGGAAGUGACGGUACCGAAACAGAAAGCCACGGCUAACUACGUG
Molecule: ribosomal RNA, 508 nt
Filed under: uncultured bacterium
Lineage: Bacteria
Description: partial 16S ribosomal RNA
Rfam family: Bacterial small subunit ribosomal RNA
Source: RNAcentral